GCAGUAGCCGCGGGAAUACGUAGGUGGCAAGCGUUGUCCGGAAUUAUUGGGCGUAAAGCGCGCGCAGGCGGAUAGGUCAGUCUGUCUUAAAAGUUCGGGGCUUAACCCCGUGAUGGGAUGGAAACUGCCAAUCUAGAGUAUCGGAGAGGAAAGUGGAAUUCCUAGUGUAGCGGUGAAAUGCGUAGAUAUUAGGAAGAACACCAGUGGCGAAGGCGACUUUCUGGACGAAAACUGACGCUGAGGCGCGAAAGCCAGGGGAGCGAACGGGAUUAGAUACCCCAGUAGUCCCUGUCUCUUAUACA
RNAcentral lists this ribosomal RNA (302 nucleotides) under uncultured bacterium. RNAcentral describes it as "partial 16S ribosomal RNA". It matches the Rfam family "Bacterial small subunit ribosomal RNA", at positions 508 to 809 of the family's 1533-position model. The record is from RNAcentral.